This 489-nucleotide ribosomal RNA is filed under the name uncultured bacterium. RNAcentral describes it as "partial 16S ribosomal RNA". It matches the Rfam family "Bacterial small subunit ribosomal RNA", at positions 30 to 507 of the family's 1533-position model. The record is from RNAcentral.
AUUGAACGCUGGCGGCAGGCCUAACACAUGCAAGUCGAACGGUAACAGGAAGCAGCUUGCUGCUUCGCUGACGAGUGGCGGACGGGUGAGUAAUGUCUGGGAAACUGCCUGAUGGAGGGGGAUAACUACUGGAAACGGUAGCUAAUACCGCAUAACGUCGCAAGACCAAAGGGGGGACCUUAGGGCCUCUUUCCAUCUGAUGUGCCCAGAUGGGAUUAGCUAGUAGGUGGGGUAACGGCUCACCUAGGCGACGAUCCCUAGCUGGUCUGAGAGGAUGACCAGCCACACUGGAACUGAGACACGGUCCAGACUCCUACGGGAGGCAGCAGUGGGGAAUAUUGCACAAUGGGCGCAAGCCUGAUGCAGCCAUGCCGCGUGUAUGAAGAAGGCCUUCGGGUUGUAAAGUACUUUCAGCGGGGAGGAAGGGAGUAAAGUUAAUACCUUUGCUCAUUGACGUUACCCGCAGAAGAAGCACCGGCUAACUCCGUG